CUCUGUGAGGAAAUAGCAGAGCUCAUCACACUGUUGGCACUUGCUUUCCUAUAAAAGCUAUACUUGCCUCCUGCCUCCCUCCCAAGCACAGCACAUGUUCCAGUAGUACUACAGAGGAGGACCUAGGAGGGGGCUGGGAAGAGUGGGAGGAGGAGCAAGAGGAGGAGUUGUUCUUUAGUUAAAAGAGCCCCUUUGCUGGGCUGUGGCCUCUCCAUGCCACCUGGGAUGGGAACUGCUCUACACACACCCCAUGAAUUAUUUAACAGCCACCUGCUUCUGAGCAUUGUUCAACCUGGAGGGAUCCUAGAACUAGGAGGUGAGCCCAAGGAUCUGGAGGAGGGAGUGGGUCUGGGAGGUGAAGGGAAAGUCUCUGGGUGGAGGGAAGCAACAGCCCUAGACUGGGACAAGCUCUGGCCAGUGGCUGCCACUGGCCUGUAGUGUGAUCUCAGGAAGGCAGGUCUCCCUUUCUGAGUCUGUGUGCUAAAGUGCACAUGGUUCUGUCAGGUGCUGGCAGGCACUGUGCUCAGGAGGAACUGGGAACAGACUUGUCCUUGGUGUAGCUUUCUGUCAAAUGCUCCCUAAAUAUAAAGGCUUGGCUUUGGGAAUCAAGCCAGGCUGGGAGCUGAUGUGCUAAGGAUCCAGUUAUAAAGCAGCCCCUUCCUUGUAUUGUCUGUGCUCCCUCCUUAGUGUUCCACCCCAGCAGACUGUGGAGUAAAAUUUCUCCAGAAAUCACUGAAUGCUCUCAGAGAGAUUCUCUUGUUUGCCAUGAACCCUCAGGUCGCUGGCCCCUGAGUUACUGAUGUGCCUGAAUGAAUCUGUAGCAGUCUCCAGCUGUCUUUGGUGGGUUGUCAGGGGAUGGGGAAUGCCUCAGUUCCUUUUGUACUGUAGAUGGCACCACUGUGAUGCUUUUCUUGUCUGUGUGUGGUGGGCUGUAGGCUGUUCGAUUGUUGGCAAAGCCAGAGACCCCUCCCUACCGAUCCCAAAGGGGUUCUAGUGCACAUGUGUCUUCUUCAGUGCGUAAACUAAAAAGAGCAGAGGUGGGCAUACAUGAGGGGAGCAUCUGGGAACUGCUGCUUGCUCAAAACUUUGACUUUCACCUCAUCAGAACUUCAAGACUUUCUCCUAUCUCAUACUUUCAUCUCAGACACACACUAUGACACGAUCUCCCUGGUACAAACCCCCCCGAAUCCUAAGCAGGGGGAAAAGUUCAGCUACUGCUUAGAUUUUGGUAAAAUAGACGUUCCACAUGUCUGUAAGGUGAGUGGGACCUACAAAGGGUCCUGUCUGUGUCUUGUGUAGCCCUUGGUGUCUGUCACCCUGCUUCUAGACCAGGCUUUGUUGAUGAAGUACUUGCAUAUCUGUGAGCUAAGUCACCAGUUUUUUUUUUUCUAAGCCUCAGUCCUUUGGUUUUCCCAUCAUAGAGGUUGAAAGGGAGGAAUGGAUUUUCAGAGACUUUCCAGUUCCAGGUGAUUGUGCCUUAGAGGGGAAUGAGCUUUAGAAUGAGUGGGUGGGUUCAGUUUGAUGGGUAAACAAUGUUUAAAUAAAGGGGCGUAUCACCUGUGUUCCCUGGGUCACAGGGGCUUCACAGUAGUUAAUCACUGUGUGUGUGUGUGUGUGUGUGUGUGUGUGUGUGUGUGUGUGUCUGUGUGUCUGUGAAUGAACACACUGGAAUGAACAGACAAUGUCCACUGCAGAGAUGUAGAGACUGCAGAGUUUCCAGCCUGAAAACUGUGGAGGCAGAGGCAUCAGGGACAGAAGAAUUCCAGGUAGACUUUUUAUAUACAGAUGAAAGAAUUGAAGAAUCCAGAAUCUAGGAAGCAACGAAGCAGCAAAUUACCAAGUAGAACCAGGACUUGCAGUAAGGACAUAAAGUAUAAGGUGGAGGGGCUAGCCAAAAUGUGCAUUGGUCUAGAGCUCCAUGAAGUCUAGAAUGUUUAUGUUAUGUGAUUCAGUAUUUGUUCCUAGUUGGUAAACCUGUUUCAGAAGGAUAAGGCACUGCUUCUUGGGGAAGAGCGUGUUCCUAAGGUUGGUUUUAUAGUUUUCAAAAGCCCAAGUGAUUCCCAAUCUGUCUCCACUUGUCCUAGAGACUCUCAGCUGUUCCUCUCACUCUGCCUUUGCUGUACCACAGUGGAUUUGUUCUGUAAGCAUGAGUCUGAAUUAUACGUUAUGUUUUAUAAAUUUGUUGCCUUGGUCAUGAAGUCUUAUUGGAGCAAAAGAAAGGAAGAUGCAGAACUUAGAAUCUCUUAUCCUACGAUGAAGGAGGCUGGGAAAUAAUUCCAGUUGGUCCAACAGCCACUCUGCUGGUCCUGUGGACAGUGAUGGAGGCUGGUAUCUACAAGCUAGGAAUAUGUAAACAGCUACAUUUUGGGCAACUUGAGUAGCAGGACUCUGGCCAGUUAAGGCUGACUAUCUGGCCAGGGCCCUGUAACCCUGGCUUCUGGGCAUGAAUUCAGGCAGGGAGAUGCUGCCAUGUGAUGCUUGCUUCUAAUCUUUCCUCUCACUGUACUGGAAGCUGUGACCUCUAUCUUGUCACUGGGGAGAGCCUUUAGGGAGUUGCCUAGAGCACCUCUGCUCACUUUCUAUGCCAGGUCCCUGUGAGAACUUCUGCCUUACCUGGGCUUAUCCUUCUUUCUCUCAGGACCCAGUGGAUACUGUUGGGGUUGUCAUUGUAGUACAUCUACCCAAUGGAGUACUAUUCAGCUAUCAAAAACAAUGACUUCAUGAAAUUCAUAGGACAAUGGAAUGAACUAGAAAAUAUCAUCCUGAGUGAGGUAACUCAGACACAGAAAAACACACUUGGUAGGUAAUCACUGAUAAGUGGAUAUUAGCCAAGAAGCUCGAAUUACACAAGAUGCAAUCCACAGACCACAGGAAGCUCAAGAACAAGGAUGACCAAAAUGCAGAUGCUCCCACUCCUUCUUAAAAGGGGGAAAAUAUCCAUAGGAAGGGAUAUGGAAGCAAAGUUUAGAGCAGCGACUCAAGGAAUGGCCAUUCAGAGCAUGGCCCACAUGCGGCCCAUAUGUAGACAGUCACCAAAAGUAGGUAAGAUUGAUGAAGCUAAAAAAUGCAUGCAGAAAGGGACCGGAUAUAGAUCUCUCCUGAGAGAUACAUCCAGAGCAUGUCCAAUACAGAGGUCAAUGCUAGCAGCAAACCACCGAAGUGAGAAUUCCCUUGGGGGAAUUAGAGGAAGGAUUGAAAGAGCUGAAGGAGCUUGCAACCCCAUAAGAACAACAAUCCCAACCAACCAGAGCUUCCAGGGACUAAACCACUACCAAAAGACUAUACAUGGACUGACCCAAGGCUCCAACUGCAUAGGUAGCAGAGAAUAGCCUAGUAAGAGACAUCUACCAGGAGGCUUAGCCAAAUCUUUUUGACAAAGGUGUGUCAUAAUAUCCUCUCUACAGAGUAGGACAUGAAUGAGAAGAGGCAUUAAGUGUUGAUUGUACUGUAUAAGCUCAGAAAAGAAAUGCCACUGCCCUUGGCAUGGAAGGUUUCUGAGUACACUGGGUUCCCUAUUUAUACUGACAAUAUGGAUACCCCUAGAGCCACUAAAGGUUGUGUACAGAUAAGCUGAAAUGUAUCACUAUAAACAACAUGUUUUUAGGAUGCUCUUUUGGAGAAUUAAAUUGAAAAAAUAAAACAAGUUGAGGAAACAGUGGUAUAAACCAAAUCCUCUUUGGUUUGAUACAUAGGAAAGAGUUAAGCAUUUAAAAACUGGACUUUGCAUUUUAGCAAUUAUUAGACAAUGAGGAAGCUCCCUGGUGAAUGUAAUGCCUGGGGCACUGAGAAGCAGAACUGGAAGAGAAGGGUUAAUCAUCAACAUUCUUUCUCCUUCCUCCUCCUCCUCCUCCUCCUCUUCUUCCUCCUGUCACCCUCUCUCUGUCUCUCUCUCCCCCCCACCCCCUGCAUCCUGUUCUCUCUCCUUUCUCAAUCAGUCCUGCUCUCCUCUCCUCUUCUUUGUCUGAAGAAAUAGCAGAGCUCAUCACACUGUUGGCACUUGCUUUCCUAUAAAAGCCAUACUUGCCUCCUGCCUCCCUCCCAAGCACAGCACAUGUUCCAGUAGUACUACAGAGGAGGACCUAGGAGGGGGCUGGGAAGAGUGGGAGGAGGAGCAAGAGGAGGAGUUGUUCUUUAGAUGAAAGAGCCCCUUUGCUGGGCUGUGGCCUCUCCAUGCCACCUGGGAUGGGAACUGCUCUACACACACCCCAUGAAUUAUUUAACAGCCACCUGCUUCUGAGCAUUGUUCAACCUGGAGGGAUCCUAGAACUAGGAGAUCCGGCUAAAAGAAAGCAAGUCUACAGGAGUGCUGACACACAGGCCUACAGAAGAGUCAAGCCGCUGUCAGAGACAGUAAGACAAGAGAACACCAGAGACAUCCUGAUGGCGAGGCAAGUACAUGAACCUAAGCAACAGAAACCAAUACUCCUUGGCAUCACCAGAGCCCAGUUCUCCCAGCAAAGCAAAUACUGGAUAUCCAAAUACACCGAAAAA
Molecule: non-coding RNA, 4491 nt
Organism: Rattus norvegicus (Norway rat)
Lineage: Eukaryota; Metazoa; Chordata; Mammalia; Rodentia; Muridae
Source: RefSeq, a predicted model, not a curated record